Molecule: ribosomal RNA, 2901 nt
Filed under: Escherichia coli
Lineage: Bacteria; Pseudomonadati; Pseudomonadota; Gammaproteobacteria; Enterobacterales; Enterobacteriaceae
Description: bacterial LSU rRNA
Rfam family: Bacterial large subunit ribosomal RNA
Source: RNAcentral
UUAAGCGACUAAGCGUACACGGUGGAUGCCCUGGCAGUCAGAGGCGAUGAAGGACGUGCUAAUCUGCGAUAAGCGUCGGUAAGGUGAUAUGAACCGUUAUAACCGGCGAUUUCCGAAUGGGGAAACCCAGUGUGAUUCGUCACACUAUCAUUAACUGAAUCCAUAGGUUAAUGAGGCGAACCGGGGGAACUGAAACAUCUAAGUACCCCGAGGAAAAGAAAUCAACCGAGAUUCCCCCAGUAGCGGCGAGCGAACGGGGAGCAGCCCAGAGCCUGAAUCAGUGUGUGUGUUAGUGGAAGCGUCUGGAAAGGCGUGCGAUACAGGGUGACAGCCCCGUACACAAAAAUGCACAUAUUGUGAGCUCGAUGAGUAGGGCGGGACACGUGGUAUCCUGUCUGAAUAUGGGGGGACCAUCCUCCAAGGCUAAAUACUCCUGACUGACCGAUAGUGAACCAGUACCGUGAGGGAAAGGCGAAAAGAACCCCGGCGAGGGGAGUGAAAAAGAACCUGAAACCGUGUACGUACAAGCAGUGGGAGCACGCUUAGGCGUGUGACUGCGUACCUUUUGUAUAAUGGGUCAGCGACUUAUAUUCUGUAGCAAGGUUAACCGAAUAGGGGAGCCGAAGGGAAACCGAGUCUUAACUGGGCGUUAAGUUGCAGGGUAUAGACCCGAAACCCGGUGAUCUAGCCAUGGGCAGGUUGAAGGUUGGGUAACACUAACUGGAGGACCGAACCGACUAAUGUUGAAAAAUUAGCGGAUGACUUGUGGCUGGGGGUGAAAGGCCAAUCAAACCGGGAGAUAGCUGGUUCUCCCCGAAAGCUAUUUAGGUAGCGCCUCGUGAAUUCAUCUCCGGGGGUAGAGCACUGUUUCGGCAAGGGGGUCAUCCCGACUUACCAACCCGAUGCAAACUGCGAAUACCGGAGAAUGUUAUCACGGGAGACACACGGCGGGUGCUAACGUCCGUCGUGAAGAGGGAAACAACCCAGACCGCCAGCUAAGGUCCCAAAGUCAUGGUUAAGUGGGAAACGAUGUGGGAAGGCCCAGACAGCCAGGAUGUUGGCUUAGAAGCAGCCAUCAUUUAAAGAAAGCGUAAUAGCUCACUGGUCGAGUCGGCCUGCGCGGAAGAUGUAACGGGGCUAAACCAUGCACCGAAGCUGCGGCAGCGACACUAUGUGUUGUUGGGUAGGGGAGCGUUCUGUAAGCCUGUGAAGGUGUACUGUGAGGUAUGCUGGAGGUAUCAGAAGUGCGAAUGCUGACAUAAGUAACGAUAAAGCGGGUGAAAAGCCCGCUCGCCGGAAGACCAAGGGUUCCUGUCCAACGUUAAUCGGGGCAGGGUGAGUCGACCCCUAAGGCGAGGCCGAAAGGCGUAGUCGAUGGGAAACAGGUUAAUAUUCCUGUACUUGGUGUUACUGCGAAGGGGGGACGGAGAAGGCUAUGUUGGCCGGGCGACGGUUGUCCCGGUUUAAGCGUGUAGGCUGGUUUUCCAGGCAAAUCCGGAAAAUCAAGGCUGAGGCGUGAUGACGAGGCACUACGGUGCUGAAGCAACAAAUGCCCUGCUUCCAGGAAAAGCCUCUAAGCAUCAGGUAACAUCAAAUCGUACCCCAAACCGACACAGGUGGUCAGGUAGAGAAUACCAAGGCGCUUGAGAGAACUCGGGUGAAGGAACUAGGCAAAAUGGUGCCGUAACUUCGGGAGAAGGCACGCUGAUAUGUAGGUGAAGUCCCUCGCGGAUGGAGCUGAAAUCAGUCGAAGAUACCAGCUGGCUGCAACUGUUUAUUAAAAACACAGCACUGUGCAAACACGAAAGUGGACGUAUACGGUGUGACGCCUGCCCGGUGCCGGAAGGUUAAUUGAUGGGGUCAGCGCAAGCGAAGCUCUUGAUCGAAGCCCCGGUAAACGGCGGCCGUAACUAUAACGGUCCUAAGGUAGCGAAAUUCCUUGUCGGGUAAGUUCCGACCUGCACGAAUGGCGUAAUGAUGGCCAGGCUGUCUCCACCCGAGACUCAGUGAAAUUGAACUCGCUGUGAAGAUGCAGUGUACCCGCGGCAAGACGGAAAGACCCCGUGAACCUUUACUAUAGCUUGACACUGAACAUUGAGCCUUGAUGUGUAGGAUAGGUGGGAGGCUUUGAAGUGUGGACGCCAGUCUGCAUGGAGCCGACCUUGAAAUACCACCCUUUAAUGUUUGAUGUUCUAACGUGGACCCGUAAUCCGGGUUGCGGACAGUGUCUGGUGGGUAGUUUGACUGGGGCGGUCUCCUCCUAAAGAGUAACGGAGGAGCACGAAGGUUGGCUAAUCCUGGUCGGACAUCAGGAGGUUAGUGCAAUGGCAUAAGCCAGCUUGACUGCGAGCGUGACGGCGCGAGCAGGUGCGAAAGCAGGUCAUAGUGAUCCGGUGGUUCUGAAUGGAAGGGCCAUCGCUCAACGGAUAAAAGGUACUCCGGGGAUAACAGGCUGAUACCGCCCAAGAGUUCAUAUCGACGGCGGUGUUUGGCACCUCGAUGUCGGCUCAUCACAUCCUGGGGCUGAAGUAGGUCCCAAGGGUAUGGCUGUUCGCCAUUUAAAGUGGUACGCGAGCUGGGUUUAGAACGUCGUGAGACAGUUCGGUCCCUAUCUGCCGUGGGCGCUGGAGAAUUGAGGGGGGCUGCUCCUAGUACGAGAGGACCGGAGUGGACGCAUCACUGGUGUUCGGGUUGUCAUGCCAAUGGCACUGCCCGGUAGCUAAAUGCGGAAGAGAUAAGUGCUGAAAGCAUCUAAGCACGAAACUUGCCCCGAGAUGAGUUCUCCCUGACUCCUUGAGAGUCCUGAAGGAACGUUGAAGACGACGACGUUGAUAGGCCGGGUGUGUAAGCGCAGCGAUGCGUUGAGCUAACCGGUACUAAUGAACCGUGAGGCUUAACCUU